Molecule: long non-coding RNA, 2881 nt
Organism: Branchiostoma floridae (Florida lancelet)
Lineage: Eukaryota; Metazoa; Chordata; Leptocardii; Amphioxiformes; Branchiostomatidae
Exons: 3
Source: RefSeq, a predicted model, not a curated record
CAGGGAGAGUACCAUAUGCAGUAUUCCUGGGAAUCGCUAGAUGGUGCACACAUACAAAGAAAAGAAAAGAAAAGCAUGAUGGGACCUCACGUGAUGACGCCCCUUCCCAAUCAUCAUUUCCUUUGUGCUUCGCGCAAGGUGCACGCAUCGAGUUUGCUCCGGUACGAUCCGGUAGUGACUCAGUUUUUCGUUGUUGGCUACGAGAAGAACCACUUUCGGCGCACCAUGCCGCCGAUAGGGUAAGCCCCUAUCGGCCGGCUACUAUCGUCGCAGCAGGCCGUAAGACCGGGAAGGGUGAAAAGCCCCUAUCGGCGGGCUACUAUCGGUACUGGCGGUCGAGCUUAGCGCUCAAGGCUUGCCAGGCGCUGGGAAGGACCAAAAGGCCCUUUCGGCGCAACAUGCACGGGAAGAAUUGGCCAAGCAUGCCGUAGAACCUGGAGGUUAUCGGCGAGGCUACGUAUACAGACGGCCGUCAUACCUUGUGCCUUACACGGAGCUGGCAUUAUCGGCGCACCAGGCCGAAAAACCUGGAGGAUAGCGCAGCCACAGACGGCCGCUAUGGCCAUGGUGCCCGAGGUUGAGGCACUGGCCCUUUCGGUGCAGCAGGCACGGAGAAUUGAGGUAAUACCCCACGUUCUUUGCGCCAGGUGACGCUAAAGAUUCGAGAACGGUGGAAGACUGUUCUCGUGGCUCCAUCCAUAUUCAGAAGGAGCGGCAGCCGCCGUGCCACGUGGGCCGAUCGGGGUAAUCGACAUCUCAAUGGAACUGUAAGUAGAUUACGGGCUCCGGUCGCUCCGUUAUGGUUGCUCGGAUAAGCUUCCAUGUUGAACACGCUGUUAGGCAUGUUGCCGUUGCAUUCUACGCUCGUCUAGGAGGAGCGUCCAGCAGUUUUCCCCAUAAUUUAAAGUCGCUUUAUGAGCGGUUGACUUAGGAAAGACGUCAAUCGGCACAGAAAGGGGCCUCCCCUUCUUCUUCUGCUGACUAUGAUACGUCGCAGUUGUCUGACAAGAGAAGCUCCAGGUGAAUAAAAUAUUGGGAGCUUAUGUUAAAGCUUGUCCCUGAGGGAAGCUUUUUUAUGGCAAUAAAGUUAUCAAUUACUUAGCCAUACUAGAAAUGUGUGUCCGUAAUUAGCAUUAUCACGGAGAAUGCUCCACAAAGACAAUUGACGAAAUUGAAUUCGUCUGGGACGUUGUGUGACUAGUCACGCGCGUAGUUAUUACACAUGUAUGUUCAACGUCUGGCUCUUUGUUGUUACUUUAGACAACAAGAUUUAACAUGAUUCAUGUUGACGAGUCUAACAUGUUUUUGGUAGUCUUGAUAGAAUAUUGUUCUUUACGAGGAACACGUGUCCUUUCUAAUAAACCAUUGUUAUGCAAACAAUGCAAACAUUGCGAAUGUUGUCGGCAAAUGGUCGACGGUAUUCCUCCGAACUCCGCUCACCCAGGAUUGACCGUCCCGGGUGUGGUUGCGGAGCAUUCUUAUGAUUCUACUUCUUCCUGGUAAUUAUGUUCCAGAAGAUGGGAAGAAGGAGCUCUGUGUGCUUCACGGAACUUCAGUUGCUCGUCUUGGCUCGCCACGUGCUCGUCCUGGACUGGCGGGGAUUCCCAGUCACCAGAGCAGGGGCUAUUGAGGUAGCCAAUCAGGUGUUGGGGAACAAUGCAAGUUACCAGACACCUUUCUGAACGUCACUAUCCCGAGCUUCCGGUAGGUGAUUGGUGACAAGUGAGCCAUGCAAUUUAGGCUCACAAGGCUGGCUUCUGGCAGCCUGCAAUCCACUUGACUGGAAACAUUAAAAUGUGGUGUUGAGUUACCAAAAUUGGUACUCACUUCGAUUGUAUUUGUAAAGAUUGCCUUUACCACAGAUGAGGCUCCUACUUGUUACAAGUUCAGUAUGUUUGUUACACACGUUAUGGGGAUUCCGGAGGAAUCUAACACAGUUGACUUCAUGUUUUGCAUGAACCACACCAAUUCAAAUGUAUUAUUGGUAUGUUGGUACUCUUUGGUUUAUUUAGAGCCACAGUUAGCUUGAAUUUCAGCUAUUGUUUCCUGUGGUCGAUAGAUGGCUUGGGCGCUCUUAUAUUAGCCCAGUCGUUCAACACAUGCAUGCUAUACAUUGCCUUACCUUACAUACAUUGUACCCGUUACAAUUGUUGUGCAAUAAACAUUGAUUUGUUUUAUUGUUAUAGGCUGUUCUUUCACGAGGAUCAGCCACUUAAUCUAAUGGGUUUCUCCCCUCUAUGAAGGGAAACAAGAGGUUUGUGUUUUUCUCCUCAAAGGUCACUUGAGGAUGUCUCCUUCCCCUUGGGAAAGGGGGGGGGGGGGGGUAAGUUGACGGGACUGGACAAUGUGUACCAAGUCCUAAGGAUUAAUGCUUUUUCAGUGUUUGUUCAUCAGGCACUCAGUGUUAUCUAACAGUUAUACUGGUAGGACAUUAGGUCACGAGAACUGACCUUCUUAGACUAUAACUGAUACUUCAGUUGAUACCUGUGCUGUCCAGAUACAGCUUUGGAGUCUGCAUAUGGUACUCUCCCUGAACAAGGUCGAGUCAGUGAGGUAUAAUUGGGGGUUAUGCUAAGAUGUACUUACCAUCUACAGUAUAAUCUGAAUUAUACCUCAUACGAGACCUUGUUCAGGUAUAUCUUCCCACCCUCAGUAACUUAUGUUCAGCUGCAGGGAUUUAGUGAACAUUGCCCACCCAUGGACAGCACAGACUUAUUUAUCUACUCUCGCACUCAGUCAAUGAUGAUUGGGAAGGGGCGUCAUCACGUGAGGUCCCAUCAUGCUUUUCUUUUCUUUUCUUUGUAUGUGUGCACCAUCUAGCGAUUCCCAGGAAUACUGCAUAUGGUACUCUCCCUGAACAAGGUCUCGUAUGAGGUAUAAU